Triticum aestivum (bread wheat) is the source of this 1908-nucleotide long non-coding RNA. RefSeq lists it as uncharacterized. The record is from RefSeq and is a predicted model, not a curated record. The transcript is spliced from 7 exons. Lineage: Eukaryota; Viridiplantae; Streptophyta; Magnoliopsida; Poales; Poaceae.
UGCCCUGUCGUUCUCUCAUUCGUCUCCUUCUCUCCUCCACUCCCCAUCGCGCCCCUCUCCUCAGCCGCCACCGCCAUCGCCGGGAGGGGCCGCCGCUCGCGUCGCUUUCCGCAGCCGCCACAGCCCCCUCCCCUUCCAAACCCACCGAGAUGACGGCGUCGGCACUGGCGCUCGCGGUGGUCGGGUGGCUUGCUCGCGCUCGCGAAGGCCGAGGUGGUCGCACUGCUCUGGGUCGUGCGCCGCCUCCAUCGCCGGCAGGAGGGGGCCGCAGAGGCCGCCGCGCAGCCCAGCGACCAGGAGCUCCCCGGUGAGCAGCCGUUCCGCUUCGCCCUCUGCCUCGCCCUCUUUGCCGUCCUCACUCCAUCCUCUUCUAUGUUUUCUGGAUUUGCCGUCGUCGCCUUCUCCGCUCCCAAGAUAGCCUCGCUCUCCUCCUUGGUGCCCAACGGGAGAGGCAGCGGACGAAAGUCGAUGACGCCGCCCCCCUCCUCCACGGCAGCGCCUUCGUCCCCGACGACACCCAGCAGCAGCUCACUCCCGGCCCAAAACGAGGUAGCGUUCCCAAAUGUGAAGCGACAACCCGCAGAAAGAUGAGCAGGAGCAGACCAGGGAUGAAGCCAAGAUCUACGAUGGUGAUUCUUCCAAUAAAAUGAUGCAGGUGGCCAACAGCUUGAUGGUGCCGUCGAUAUUGUCUCCUCCAGCGUCAAGGAACCAGCCAAAAACGUCAUCGUCAAGCAAGCGACGCUGAGCAAAUGUCAGGUGCCAUCACGCACCAUGGUGUGGCGAUCAGAUUGGCAACGUGUUCGAUGCAGCUUACAAUGCCAAUGAUCAGUUCAUUUUUGUGGAUUGUUGUGGGGGAUUGAGGCUUUAAAGCACAUGAAUUGCAGCAGGAAUUGUUCAGGAUACUACUGUUGUUGCUACUUGGUGCGUUACCAUCACCGGGAGGAGCGACGGCCAUCCACAUCGCCAUUGCCAUCGUCCUUCAGAUCAAGGAUGUGUAGGAAGUCGCGUCUUUAGGAGGUCUGAAUAUAUUAUUUGCUGUCACUGACAGACAUAGUAUGAUCGUUUGCUCCUUGGGAGGUCUGUUCCUUCAAGUACAGCUAAAGCAAAGAAACUCCAACUUAUUUUAGUGUUUGAGAUUCUGAUUACCAAUCUGCAACGAUGUCCAUGCCCUUUGGUAUUGCACUCUAAUUAUUUUCUUUGCUCAUUUGUUCUCCUACAGAUGGUUUACGUCUUAACUGUCUACAACAAAAACGAUAAACAGCACCGCAUCCGGGUAACAAAGCCCGCAUCCGGGUACUAAUGUUGGUGUGAGCUCAAGGAAAACGGCAAAACCCAUUUGUAGUUUCAGCUUUACGAGGCGUUGUCAGCAAUGAUUGAUGAGAUAAUUGGUUGAGCUACUUUUGGAAGGGGCGACGGAAAUCAUAAAAACUACGAUGGCUAUGGCGAUUCAACAUAUAGAAAGAUGGAAGAGAGCACACAGUAAAUAAAACAGAGCACAAAGCAGUAGCCUUUGGAGCAGGUUACAGUUUGCACUUGGUGUUAAAGGAUUUGGAGCAGGCUAUAUCUGUGAUGACACAGAUUGGUUAUGCAGGAUCUCUUGGCUAAAUCCUUCUGCUUUAUCAUGAGGACAACAAAUAGUAACAAAUAGUGGUUACUUCUCAUCUGAGCUUGAGCUGUGGUGAAUGCGACCGAUGUUUCUACGAAGAUGUAGUUCUUUUGGUUUAUCGACUAAUAUUAUCGUAUAUAGACGUGAUGCCUGAGGCGUUUUGAAUCAGUGUCGUAGCAGACUGCCCUAUCCUUAUUGUAAAUUAUGUGUGAUCACCGACAGUCCUUCAGGUCGAUUUACCACUCCAUGGUUAUUGUAAAUUAUGAACGAAUUAUGCUGUAGUUUUAGUAUUGGUUCUUUAA